UCCACGCCCUAAACGAUGAAUGCUAGUCGUCGGGGAGCUCGUCUCUUCGGUGAUGCACUUAACAGAUUAAGCAUUCCGCCUGGGGAGUACGGUCGCAAGAUUAAAACUCAAAGGAAUAGACGGGGACCCGCACAAGUGGUGGAGCAUGUGGUUUAAUUCGAAGAUACACGAAGAACCUUACCUGGCCUUGACAUCCCGAGAACCCUUAAGAGAUUAGGGGGUGCUAGCUUGCUAGAACUCGGUGACAGGUGCUGCACGGCUGUCGUCAGCUCGUGUCGUGAGAUGUUGGGUUAAGUCCCGCAACGAGCGCAACCCUCGUCCUUAGUUGCUAACAGUUCGGCUGAGCACUCUAAGGAGACUGCCUUCGUAAGGAGGAGGAAGGUGAGGACGACGUCAAGUCAUCAUGGCCCUUACGGCCAGGG
Molecule: ribosomal RNA, 422 nt
Filed under: uncultured bacterium
Lineage: Bacteria
Description: bacterial SSU rRNA
Rfam family: Bacterial small subunit ribosomal RNA
Source: RNAcentral